GACAGAGGAGCCAAGCGUUGUCCGGAUUGACUGGGCGUAAAGCGCACGCAGGCGGAUGCGCGCGUGGGGUGUGAAAUCUGGCCGCUUAACGGCCAGGCGCCAUCCCAUACGGCGCGUCUGGAGUGAUGCAGAGGUCGAUGGAAUUGCCGGUGUAGUGGUGAAAUGCGUAGAGAUCGGCAGGAACACCCAGGGGGAAACCAGUCGACUGGGCAUCUACUGACGCUGAGGUGCGAGAGCGUGGGGAGUGAACCGG
Molecule: ribosomal RNA, 253 nt
Filed under: uncultured bacterium
Lineage: Bacteria
Description: partial 16S ribosomal RNA
Rfam family: Bacterial small subunit ribosomal RNA
Source: RNAcentral